Molecule: long non-coding RNA, 957 nt
Filed under: Fukomys damarensis (Damara mole-rat)
Lineage: Eukaryota; Metazoa; Chordata; Mammalia; Rodentia; Bathyergidae
Description: lncRNA (ENSFDAG00000032736.1)
Source: RNAcentral
CUCUGAAUAUGCUCCUGGCUUGACUAUAGCAUGCACCAAAUACUCUUCAGUGGUAUUUCACAAUUCUGGCUGGGAUCAAAGUUGCAGCAGAAUCUAAUCCCUAGGAGAAGUCACAAGCCAUAGCAGCUCUUGAAACAAUUAAAUUUGGGAUUUGCAAAUGCCUGCCUCUGUCUAGAAUCGUGUCUCAUUGUCACGCAUUGAGUCAAUUCAGUAUUCAUGUUACAAAUGUUCAUUGAGUCAUUAACCUUUACUAGAUGCUUUUCUAGUUUGUAGGAUAACUGAUGGUGACUCCCUAUAGCAUGAGCUACUGGGGCUCAAUAGCAGAGUGUCAUGAUCUGCCAUGGCAUUAUGUAGUGUAAUGGCGAUACUGUGUCAUUUGUCUUCACGACCUGAAAACAGUUGUAUUAGUCAGGGUGCCAUAGAGAAAACAAUAUGAAUAUGAUAUCUUGUGGAAAUGGUGUGAGUCAAGUCAAAAGGUCUGAGAAAAGUAACCUCUGAUGUUUAAGUGUAGAAGAGGACUUUUCCUGCUCAAAGGAAACAGAAGAUCUUCAUUUCCUCUGCUUCUUUGCUCUACUCAGUUGCUCAACAGAUUGGAUGGUGCCUGCCUGUGUGGAUGAAGACAGUCAUUACCCAGCCUAUUCAUGCUACCUUCUGGAACAAUGUUUUACCAGCUAUAUGGGCAUCCUUUAGCCUCAUCAAGUACCAUCACAUUAACCUUCUAUAUGAUGCUAGUCAACAUUCUGUUAAUGUCAAUUAUUAGGACUCUUGUUGAUUUGAAGACCUUCAAAUUCUUCACUCAGGUACUACAUGUUUACCCAGGUGCACUCAGGCAGUGCCUCACUUCUGAUGAACUGCAUGGUCACUGACUCCUCUGACUCCAUGAUGUAUGAGGAUACCAGAGCUACACAUCUGCAUGUAUGACUGGUAGGACAUGCACCUCCUAUUACCCUUUCUCCC